GGGAGCAUAGCUCAGCUGGGAGAGCAUCUGCCUUACAAGCAGAGGGUCACAGGUUCGAGCCCUGUUGCUCCCACCA
RNAcentral lists this transfer RNA (76 nucleotides) under delta proteobacterium ML8_F1. Its description in RNAcentral is "tRNA-Val". It matches the Rfam family "tRNA". From Rfam's summary of the family: Transfer RNA (tRNA) molecules are approximately 80 nucleotides in length. Their secondary structure includes four short double-helical elements and three loops (D, anti-codon, and T loops). RNAcentral also lists the same sequence under 5 other names. Lineage: Bacteria; Deltaproteobacteria. The record is from RNAcentral.